GUUCAGGUGGAUACAGUUCACAAAAAAAAUGGAAAGAAACAACCAGUGAGCUGAUAGAUGUUUGUUGUGUUGGGGCAAUUUAAACUUACAGAGUCCA
Ipomoea nil (Japanese morning glory) is the source of this 97-nucleotide long non-coding RNA. RefSeq lists it as uncharacterized. The transcript is spliced from 3 exons. The record is from RefSeq and is a predicted model, not a curated record. Lineage: Eukaryota; Viridiplantae; Streptophyta; Magnoliopsida; Solanales; Convolvulaceae.